This is a non-coding RNA of Pelobates cultripes (western spadefoot toad), 207 nucleotides long. The record is from the annotation of a GenBank genome assembly. Lineage: Eukaryota; Metazoa; Chordata; Amphibia; Anura; Pelobatidae.
CUCCUCCUCCGUUCCUCCCAUGUGGCUGAAUGCGCACGCGCGGCAACAGCUGUGCGCGCAUUCAGCCGGUCACAUAGGAAAGCAUUAUCAAUGCUUUCCUAUGGACGCUUGCGUGCUCUCACUGUGAUUUUCACAGUGAGAAGCACGCAAGCGCCUCUAGCGGCUGUCAAUGAGACAGCCACUAGAGGAAUUGGGGGAAGGCUUAAC